Molecule: transfer RNA, 101 nt
Filed under: Lentinula raphanica
Lineage: Eukaryota; Fungi; Basidiomycota; Agaricomycetes; Agaricales; Omphalotaceae
Description: tRNA-Ala
Rfam family: tRNA
About the family: Transfer RNA (tRNA) molecules are approximately 80 nucleotides in length. Their secondary structure includes four short double-helical elements and three loops (D, anti-codon, and T loops).
Source: RNAcentral
GGGCACAUGGUGUAGUUGGUUAUCACAUCCGCUUAGCAUAACAAUUUGGAAGAUUGUUGUUCCUUUGCGGGGGGUGCUGGGUUCAAUUCCCAGUGUGUCCA